Molecule: RNase P RNA, 331 nt
Filed under: uncultured Aquirufa sp.
Lineage: Bacteria; Pseudomonadati; Bacteroidota; Cytophagia; Cytophagales; Flectobacillaceae
Description: Bacterial RNase P class A
Rfam family: Bacterial RNase P class A
About the family: Ribonuclease P (RNase P) is a ubiquitous endoribonuclease, found in archaea, bacteria and eukarya as well as chloroplasts and mitochondria. Its best characterised activity is the generation of mature 5'-ends of tRNAs by cleaving the 5'-leader elements of precursor-tRNAs.
Source: RNAcentral
UUUAAAGAGGAAAGUCCGAACAACAAAGAGCGGCGUGCUUCCUAACCGGAAGGAGAACUUUCGAGUUUUACAGCCAGUGCCACAGAAAAUUACCGCCUUUCGGGGUAAGGGUGAAAAGGUGGGGUAAGAGCCCACCGCUGAUUUGGUGACAAAUCAGGCUUAGGUAAACCUCACGCGUUGCAAGAUCAAAUAGGCUGACUGCUGAAAGGCAAAAGGGUGGCUCGUCCGAUGUCAGUGGGUAGAUUGCUAGAGACAAAUAGUGAUAUUUGUUCAAGAUAAAUGAUAAGAGGGUAGGAUUUCCUACUUACAGAAUUCGGCUUAUCGAUUUAUU